Molecule: ribosomal RNA, 253 nt
Filed under: uncultured bacterium
Lineage: Bacteria
Description: partial 16S ribosomal RNA
Rfam family: Bacterial small subunit ribosomal RNA
Source: RNAcentral
UACGAAGGGGGCUAGCGUUGCUCGGAAUCACUGGGCGUAAAUGGUGCGUAGGCGGGUCUUUAAGUCAGGGGUGAAAUCCUGGAGCUCAACUCCAGAACUGCCUUUGAUACUGAGGAUCUUGAGUUCGGGAGAGGUGAGUGGAACUGCGAGUGUAGAGGUGAAAUUCGUAGAUAUUCGCAAGAACACCAGUGGCGAAGGCGGCUCACUGGCCCGAUACUGACGCUGAGGCACGAAAGCGUGGGGAGCAAACAGG